RNAcentral lists this ribosomal RNA (497 nucleotides) under uncultured bacterium. RNAcentral's name for it is "partial 16S ribosomal RNA". It matches the Rfam family "Bacterial small subunit ribosomal RNA", at positions 28 to 507 of the family's 1533-position model. The record is from RNAcentral.
GAUGAACGCUGGCGGCGUGCCUAAUACAUGCAAGUCGAGCGAACAGACGAGGAGCUUGCUCCUCUGACGUUAGCGGCGGACGGGUGAGUAACACGUGGAUAACCUACCUAUAAGACUGGGAUAACUUCGGGAAACCGGAGCUAAUACCGGAUAAUAUAUUGAACCGCAUGGUUCAAUAGUGAAAGACGGUUUUGCUGUCACUUAUAGAUGGAUCCGCGCCGCAUUAGCUAGUUGGUAAGGUAACGGCUUACCAAGGCAACGAUGCGUAGCCGACCUGAUAGGGUGAUCGGCCACACUGGAACUGAGACACGGUCCAGACUCCUACGGGAGGCAGCAGUAGGGAAUCUGCCGCAAUGGGCGAAAGCCUGACGGAGCAACGCCGCGUGAGUGAUGAAGGUCUUCGGAUCGUAAAACUCUGUUAUUAGGGAAGAACAAAUGUGUAAGUAACUAUGCACGUCUCGACGGUACCUAAUCAGAAAGCCACGGCUAACUACGUG